Molecule: transfer RNA, 86 nt
Filed under: TM7 phylum sp. oral taxon 356
Lineage: Bacteria; Candidatus Saccharimonadota
Also listed under: 3 other names
Description: tRNA-Tyr
Rfam family: tRNA
About the family: Transfer RNA (tRNA) molecules are approximately 80 nucleotides in length. Their secondary structure includes four short double-helical elements and three loops (D, anti-codon, and T loops). Further hydrogen bonds mediate the characteristic L-shaped molecular structure. tRNAs have two regions of fundamental functional importance: the anti-codon, which is responsible for specific mRNA codon recognition, and the 3' end, to which the tRNAs corresponding amino acid is attached (by aminoacyl-tRNA synthetases). tRNAs cope with the degeneracy of the genetic code in two manners: having more than one tRNA (with a specific anti-codon) for a particular amino acid; and 'wobble' base-pairing, i.e. permitting non-standard base-pairing at the 3rd anti-codon position.
Source: RNAcentral
GCUGGGGUAGUGAAGUGGUUAAACACGGCAGACUGUAAAUCUGCUCCCUUGCGGGUUCGGGGGUUCGAAUCCCUCCCCCAGCACCA